AGAGGUUGAUCCUGGCUCAGGACGAACGCUGGCGGCGUGCCUAAUACAUGCAAGUCGAACGAGAGCGACCGGUGCUUGCACUGGUCAAUCUAGUGGCGAACGGGUGAGUAACACGUGGGUAACCUGCCCAUCAGAGGGGGAUAACAUUCGGAAACGGAUGCUAAAACCGCAUAGGUCUUCGAACCGCAUGGUUUGAAGAGGAAAAGAGGCGCAAGCUUCUGCUGAUGGAUGGACCCGCGGUGCAUUAGCUAGUUGGUGAGGUAACGGCUCACCAAGGCCGUGAUGCAUAGCCGACCUGAGAGGGUGAUCGGCCACAUUGGGACUGAGACACGGCCCAAACUCCUACGGGAGGCAGCAGUAGGGAAUCUUCGGCAAUGGACGCAAGUCUGACGGAGCAACGCCGCGUGAGUGAAGAAGGUUUUCGGAUCGUAAAACUCUGUUGUUAGAGAAGAACAAGUGCUAGAGUAACUGUUAGCGCCUUGACGGUAUCUAACCAGAAAGCCACGGCUAACUACGUGCCAGCAGCCGCGGUAAUACGUAGGUGGCAAGCGUUGUCCGGAUUUAUUGGGCGUAAAGCGAGCGCAGGCGGUUCCUUAAGUCUGAUGUGAAAGCCCCCGGCUCAACCGGGGAGGGUCAUUGGAAACUGGGGAACUUGAGUGCAGAAGAGGAGAGUGGAAUUCCAUGUGUAGCGGUGAAAUGCGUAGAUAUAUGGAGGAACACCAGUGGCGAAGGCGACUCUCUGGUCUGUAACUGACGCUGAGGCUCGAAAGCGUGGGUAGCAAACCAGGAUUAGAUACCCUGGUAGUCCACGCCGUAAAC
This 819-nucleotide ribosomal RNA is filed under the name uncultured bacterium. Its description in RNAcentral is "bacterial SSU rRNA". It matches the Rfam family "Bacterial small subunit ribosomal RNA", at positions 8 to 807 of the family's 1533-position model. The record is from RNAcentral.